UAAAGAAACAACAUGGGCAGUGUCUGUGCUGCCUUCGAGGGAGGGCUCUGGGUAAUCCCUUCUCGCUCUGCCCCCAUCCUUCACCCCCCACCAUCCUGUCUGAGGCCCAGUUUUAGCCCCAGUGCUGCUUAAUUCCCAAUGGGGAGAUAUUUGCAGGGUGGGAUUUUAUUUCCAGCAGCUAAAUGAGCCUCUCGAAACUAUUCUACCAGCUUUUGCAGAGCAACGUGAGAGAAGGAGCAGUGGCGAUUCCUGCGAAUGCUUUCAGCCAAAAAACGGGAGGCUUGGGCUGUGAUUCAUGCUGUCAGCCACAGGAAAAGUCCCUGCCCCAGCAAAUAAGUCGGGGUUUGCCAUGGGAACGUCCCUGCUGGCGCUUGCCUGGUUCACCUGCCCGGGACAGGGGCCAUCACCACCAGCUCGGCGCUGUCAGGAGCCACCCAGCCGCAAGGCUUCGGCACGGUGCAGUGCCAGCAGUGUGUUUUCGGCACACGGAGCCGCGUCGUGAAGGCAACGGCUGUGGUGCUCAAGGGAAAAACAACAGCGCUUGAAGAAGGACGGGCUACAGGCCCAGCCAGAAAAAGGCCAGCCGUAAAGGCCGGGCUGCCCGGCAUGCUGGGCCUGGCAGGGCCGCAGCUCGCCUGUUUGCCUUCUGGGAGAAGUCCCCGCCGUGGCUGGCUUUGCCU
This 680-nucleotide long non-coding RNA is filed under the name Anas platyrhynchos platyrhynchos (common mallard). RNAcentral's name for it is "lncRNA (ENSAPLG00000029252.1)". Lineage: Eukaryota; Metazoa; Chordata; Aves; Anseriformes; Anatidae. The record is from RNAcentral.